Gallus gallus (chicken) is the source of this 908-nucleotide long non-coding RNA. NCBI's taxonomy places the organism in Eukaryota, Metazoa, Chordata, Aves, Galliformes, Phasianidae. The record is from Ensembl.
CACAAGGAGGAAGGAUCUCUAUCUGGAGAUCACUCCUUUUGAAGCCCUUCCAUCAGCCCAAGAUGUAGGAGUCAAUAUCAGCACAGUCACUUCAACUUGUAAAUGGAUUGUUGAAGGACCCUAGUCAGGAGUGAAAACUGGUAACUGGUACCAACCUUUCUAAACGUGGGAUACAAUAGAAGAAGUUCACAGAUGAAUUUCACUGUGCCCAUCUAUCACAACUGAUAAUUGCUUCUGAGAGGAAAUCUUGAGGAAUUCCCUCUUAGAUGUCAGAAGAACUUAGCAUGAGGAUUUUUAAGACAAAAUGGCAGGAACUGAUCAAAUAAAUAAUUAAGCAUAUCGUAAUAAUUUUCCAAAUCUGGAGAAAUACAUGUGUGCCUUAAAUCUUCCUUUUUUUCCCAGCUACUCUUUUCUUUGUUAGUGAAGUGAAAUACUUUCCCAGAAAACCUUUCUUCUCCUGAGUUUAUUACUGAACUGACAACUGAAAACAAAAUUUUUGUUUCUUUCUGCUAUGUUGUAUUAGAUGCAUCUUGGCAAAAAGAAAAUAAAGAAAAUAAUUGCUCUCCUUUCAGAAUAAAAUCAUCUGUUUACUUUCAGAAGAAAAUAAUGUGUCCAUUUCCUUCCAAUUCCAGUUUUUCAUUUUGUUCUGCUUUUCUUUGGAGGAUAGGAUACAUUCUGAGAAAAACUGAAUUAAUCUCAAUCUAGAGGUAAAUUCAUCUUAAAAGGCCACAUAUGCACUGUAAUAAUAACUUUCUUUAAUGCUGUGCAAUGCAUAUAGUAAUCUUUGAAAAGAUCACCAUUUCAAUUGUUGUUUCUCCUAGGAGAAAGUAGGGGGAACUGGAAAAGCAAAUUGUACUGAUGUAGUAUUCUUUAAACCAGUUAGAACACAAGAUGAGACUAAAAGGAAC